This 377-nucleotide ribosomal RNA is filed under the name uncultured bacterium. RNAcentral's name for it is "partial 16S ribosomal RNA". It matches the Rfam family "Bacterial small subunit ribosomal RNA", at positions 338 to 732 of the family's 1533-position model. The record is from RNAcentral.
CCUACGGGUGGCAGCAGUGGGGAAUAUUGCACAAUGGGGGAAACCCUGAUGCAGCGACGCCGCGUGAGUGAAGAAGUAUUUCGGUAUGUAAAGCUCUGUCAGCAGGGAAGAAAAUGCCGGUACCUGACUAAGAAUCACCGGCUAAAUACGUGCCAGCAGCCGCGGUAAUACGUAGGGGGAACGCGUUAACCGGAUUUACUGGGCGGAAAGGGAGCGUAGACGGCAGAGCAAGUCGCGAGUGAAAGCCCGCGGCCCAACGGCGGGACUGCUUUGGAAACUGGCCGGCUAGAGUGCGGGAGAGGUUAGUGGAAUGCCUGGUGUAGCGGUGAAAUGCGUAGAUAUUAGGAGGAACACCAGUGGCGAAGGCGGCUUACUGG